UAGGGAAUCUUCCACAAUGGGCGAAAGCCUGAUAGAGCAACGCCGCGUGUGUGAUGAAGGCUUUAGGGUCGUAAAGCACUGUUGUAUGGGAAGAAAUGCUAGAAUAGGGAAUGAUUCUAGUUCGACGGUACCAUACCAGAAAGGGACGGCUAAAUACGUGCCAG
Molecule: ribosomal RNA, 164 nt
Filed under: uncultured bacterium
Lineage: Bacteria
Description: partial 16S rRNA
Rfam family: Bacterial small subunit ribosomal RNA
Source: RNAcentral